GGGUCAGUAGGUUGGUCGUGCCACCGGUACGUACUGGUCUCACUGACUCCUCCUUCCUGAAGAACCGUAAUGCCAUUAAUUUGGUGUUGCGGGGAAACAGGACUGUUACUUUGAAAAAAUUAGAGUGUUUAAAGCAAGCUAACGCUUGAAUACAUUAGCAUGGAACAGUGAAAUAGGACGAUCGAUCCUAUUUUGUUGGUUUCUAGGAUUGACGUA
This 216-nucleotide ribosomal RNA is filed under the name Glomeromycotina sp. RNAcentral describes it as "partial small subunit ribosomal RNA". The stretch from base 75 to 216 matches the Rfam family "Eukaryotic small subunit ribosomal RNA", at positions 721 to 864 of the family's 1831-position model. The record is from RNAcentral. Lineage: Eukaryota; Fungi; Glomeromycota.